Molecule: ribosomal RNA, 468 nt
Filed under: uncultured bacterium
Lineage: Bacteria
Description: partial 16S ribosomal RNA
Rfam family: Bacterial small subunit ribosomal RNA
Source: RNAcentral
GACGAACGCUGGCGGCGUGCUUAACACAUGCAAGUCGAACGGAAAGGCCCUGCUUUUGUGGGGUGCUCGAGUGGCGAACGGGUGAGUAACACGUGAGUAACCUGCCCUUGACUUUGGGAUAACUUCAGGAAACUGGGGCUAAUACCGGAUAGGAGCUCCUGCUGCAUGGUGGGGGUUGGAAAGUUUCGGCGGUUGGGGAUGGACUCGCGGCUUAUCAGCUUGUUGGUGGGGUAGUGGCUUACCAAGGCUUGGACGGGUAGCCGGCCUGGGAGGGUGACCGGCCACCUUGGGACUGAGGUACGGCCCAGACUCCUACUGGAGGCAGCAGUGCGGAAUAUUGCACAAUGGGCGGAAGCCUGAUGCAGCAACGCCGCGUGCUGGAUGACGGCCUUCGGGUUGUAAACCGCUUUCGCCUGUGACGAAGCGUGAGUGACGGUAAUGGGUAAAGAAGCACCGGCUAACUACGUG